GACGAACGCUGGCGGCGUGCUUAACACAUGCAAGUCGAACGGAAAGGCCCUGCUUUUGUGGGGUGCUCGAGUGGCGAACGGGUGAGUAACACGUGAGUAACCUGCCCUUGACUUUGGGAUAACUUCAGGAAACUGGGGCUAAUACCGGAUAGGAGCUCCUGCUGCAUGGUGGGGGUUGGAAAGUUUCGGCAGUUGGGGAUGGACUCGCGGCUUAUCAGCUUGUUGGUGGGGUAGUGGCUUACCAAGGCUUUGACGGGUAGCCGGCCUGAGAGGGUGACCGGCCACAUUGGGACUGAGAUACGGCCCAGACUCCUACGGGAGGCUGCAGUGGGGAAUAUUGCACAAUGGGCGGAAGCCUGAUGCAGCAACGCCGCGUGCGGGAUGACGGCCUUCGGGUUGUAAACCGCUUUCGCCUGUGACGAAGCGUGAGUGGCGGUAAUGGGUAAAGAAGCACCGGCUAACUACGUG
Molecule: ribosomal RNA, 468 nt
Filed under: uncultured bacterium
Lineage: Bacteria
Description: partial 16S ribosomal RNA
Rfam family: Bacterial small subunit ribosomal RNA
Source: RNAcentral